GAUGAACGCUGGCGGCGUGCCUAAUACAUGCAAGUCGAGCGAACAGACGAGGAGCUUGCUCCUCUGACGUUAGCGGCGGACGGGUGAGUAACACGUGGAUAACCUACCUAUAAGACUGGGAUAACUUCGGGAAACCGGAGCUAAUACCGGAUAACAUGUUGAACCGCAUGGUUUAACAGUGAAAGACGGUCUUGCUGUCACUUAUAGAUGGAUCCGCGCCGCAUUAGCUAGUUGGUAAGGUAACGGCUUACCAAGGCAACGAUGCGUAGCCGACCUGAGAGGGUGAUCAGCCACACUGGAACUGAGACACGGUCCAGACUCCUACGGGAGGCAGCAGUAGGGAAUCUUCCGCAAUGGGCGAAAGCCUGACGGAGCAACGCCGCGUGAGUGAAGAAGGUCUUCGGAUCGUAAAACUCUGUUAUUAGGGAAGAACAAAUGUGUAAGUAACUAUGCACGUCUUGACGGUACCUAAUCAGAAAGCCACGGCUAACUACGUG
This 497-nucleotide ribosomal RNA is filed under the name uncultured bacterium. RNAcentral's name for it is "partial 16S ribosomal RNA". It matches the Rfam family "Bacterial small subunit ribosomal RNA", at positions 28 to 507 of the family's 1533-position model. The record is from RNAcentral.